This 434-nucleotide ribosomal RNA is filed under the name uncultured eukaryote. RNAcentral's name for it is "SSU rRNA". It matches the Rfam family "Eukaryotic small subunit ribosomal RNA", at positions 682 to 1121 of the family's 1831-position model. The record is from RNAcentral.
GUUACAUUUGUAGUCAUCCACAUGAGAACCUUUCUCGGCCUUCACUGGUCGGUUGGGGGAUCAUGUACUUUUACUUUAGAAAAAAUCAGAGUGUUUCAGGCAGGCGUUUGCAUGAAUACACAAGCAUGGAAUAAUGGAAUAGGACUAGGGUCCUAUUUUAUUUGGUUAUUGGACCAUAGUAAUGAUUAAUAGGGACAGGUUGGGGCAUUAGUAUUUAAUUGUCAGAGGUGAAAUUCUUGGAUUUAUUAAAGACUAACUUAUGCGAAAGCAUUUGCCAAGGAUGUUUUCAUUAAUCAAGAACGAAAGUUAGGGGAUCAAAGACGAUCAGAUACCGUCCUAGUCUUAACUAUAAACUAUACCGACUAGGGAUUGGUUGGGUCAUUAGAGCCCAAUCAGCACCUUAUGAGAAAUCAAAGUCUUUGGGUUCUGGGGGG